CGCGUAAAGAACUUGCCUCACAGCUAGGGACAACAUUUAGAAAUGAAUGCUAAUACCUGAUAUUAUGAUUUUAAGGCAUCUUAGAAUUAUGAAAGCUAUAAGCACUGUGAGAGAGCUUUGCGUCCCAUUAGCUAGUUGGAGAGGUAACAGCUCACCGAGGCGAUGAUGGGUAGCCGGCCUGAGAGGGUGAACGGCCACAAGGGGACUGAGACACGGCCCUU
RNAcentral lists this ribosomal RNA (221 nucleotides) under uncultured bacterium. Its description in RNAcentral is "partial 16S ribosomal RNA". It matches the Rfam family "Bacterial small subunit ribosomal RNA", at positions 114 to 334 of the family's 1533-position model. The record is from RNAcentral.